AAGGAGAGGGAGGGCUUCCCUGGUGGCGCAGCGGUUAAAAAUCUGCCUGCCAAUACAGGGUACACGGGUUCAAGCCCUGGUCUGGGAAGAUCCCACAUGCUGCAGAACAACUAAGCCUGGGUGCCACAACUACUUAGCAUGUGCUCUAGAGCCUGUGAACCACAACUACUGAGCCCACAUGCCACAACUACUGAAGCCUACACGUGCCUAGAGGCCGUGCUCCACAACAAGAGAAGCCACCGCAAUGAGAAGCCCGCACACCGCAACAAAGAGUAGCCCCCGCUCGCCGCAACUAGAGAAAGCCUGCGCACAGCAACGAAGACCCAAUGCAGCCAACAAUAAAUAAAUUAAAUAAAUUUUCAAAAAAAGGAGAGGGAGAAAUGGAGGGGAAGCAUCAUCGGAAACGAGGAUGUGAGCGCCGCCCAGGGAAGAAACUGGAGGUGGGCACGGCUGGACGUGAGGAAGAGAAAGGAAAAUUACGCUUUCACCCCAAGCCCCAGAGGAGAAGAAACUGCUCCCGAGGGCCCGGCUGGCCACCUCCAGGGCCUCAGCGACCCUUCCGGCUGGAGGCCUUGUGGUCAGCCCGGUUCGUGAUUCAUAGAUCAGCGGCCGUGUUUCAAGACGGCAUCAUCUAGAAUUGGAAGGAGCGGGAGUCCCAGAAUCAGCGCUCAGCUUGCCGCCCCGCAGAGUCCCCGGAUCUGCAGCACACGGAGAUCUGAGUGACAAACCUCCAGCGUGACAGGGCACGGAGAGACUAACACACCUCACAACACAGGUUGUUGCAGUUUGUUGAGAUGAGGUGAUACUGGAGAAGGGUGGACUGCUAAUCCAAGAUGACUGGUGUCCUUAUAAGAAGACAGAGACACACAGGGAAAGCAUGUGAUGACAAAGGCAGAGCCUGGAGUGAUGCAGCCACAAGCCCAGGGACGCCAAAGGGAGGAACCCCCUACAGCUUUCAGGGGGAGCAUGACCCUAACACCUUGACUCUGCAGUCCUAGUCCCAGAACUGUGAGCCAAUACACUUCAGCUGCUUUAAGCCACCCAGUUUGUGGCACUUUGUUGUGGCAGCCCUAGGAAUCUAGUAAGGCGAGAAGAAGGAAAAGCUCAUCAGCGGUGAUUGAGCUGCCUCCCCUGAAGGCCACUGGCUCUCAAUCCACCCAGGACACAUGAGCACCCAGGAGACUGUGACUCAGACUCGUCCCUCCAAGACCACGGACCGGGGCAUCUGUGCACCAGCUCCUGCUUCCACUGGUGAAGGCUGUCCCUGGGGCUUGCUGGUGGCAGGGACACCCCUGCACAUGGCCUGAGCUCACCAGCUUUCCAUUGAGCUGCAGAUGACAUCAGAGGUGGACGUGGGGACAGGGGGUGGGACAGGCGCCAAGAGUAUCUGCUGCACCAGGACGUGGGUCCUGACCCAUCAUCUCUCUGUAGCACCACUUUACUCCCCAAGUUCAAGGUGAAGACUGAAAGUCACCCAGGCAGACGUACCAUUCACCAUAUGCACUUUGGGACCUCUUAUUUCAUAUGUGUGCAUGGAUGAACUUGUCAAGAUGUUACGAAGGGGAGAAAGAAGGAAGGGGAAGAGGAGAAAAAAGGAGAGGAAAGUCAAUAUUAGUAUCGUCAUUUCAGGGAACCUGGGACACAGAUUAAGUGAUGUUUUCCUGGCAGCACAGCUAGCGAACACCUUCACACUAAUUUACACGAAGCCCACCUGACUCCCAAAGCCCACAGUCAUCUUGAACACAGAUGAUUUUUUCUUCCUUUUACAACCUGAAGAAUCCACAGUCACAAGCACAUCUGAUCUGGUAAAGACAGAACUGGGAAGUAAACUGACGGAAACACUGUUCUUGCUUGUGAUGAAUCGUUAGAAGAUAUACAUAUAUUUAUUUGUGCACAAAAAUCGCACAACCUUGGCUAUGGAGCCACACAAUUUAGGGGUUUGAAGGUGUGAAACGAACAGGCUCAGAUUCCUGACACUGACACCUUGUACUCUCGCUUUGUAAGCCAAGACGGAGAUUUCUAAUUUUGCUCAUAACCAAUUUAAGGGUCUUGCUAGCUGCUAUAACAAAUAAACUGCGUCAGGGCUCAAAAACAGUCACUCACUUUGGAAGUUUAUUUCUUGUUCAUUUAGAGUCCUGAGUUGGGAUCUGGAAUCAUCCUCUAUGCAGUGACUCAGUUACCCAGGUCCCUUCCAUCUUGUGGCUCCUCCAAGGUUACUAUGCUUGUCUGCACCAACCCAAGGGAAGGAAAGAGAGUUAUAAGACACAUCUGGUUCUUAAAGGGUGACUAUAUAACAUAUCUCCCAAACCAGGACACUUUUGAGAGUGAAAGGGGAUGUUAUUAAGAAUUAUACCAAGACAAUAAACUCAGUAAGGGCAAACUCAGAUAUAUGAUCUCCCUACUUCAUAACCACCUUGAUCUGGAAACAACCCGCUUCACUUUGCUUCACAUGCUAUUGGUGAAUAUGGCCACAUGGUAUUCCACUGAUCUGUUUUUGUGUAAUGAACCACACUGAAGCAGUGGCUUGAAACAAUGACCAAACAUUUUUUGGUUCACAAAUGUGGGAUGAUCUGGGCUCAGCUGGGUGGCUCUUGCUCAGGGUCUCUCACAUGGGGGGAGGGGGGCCGGGAAGACUCAACCGGGGGCCUCGUGCACAU
Long non-coding RNA from Globicephala melas (long-finned pilot whale), 2657 nucleotides. RefSeq lists it as uncharacterized. NCBI's taxonomy places the organism in Eukaryota, Metazoa, Chordata, Mammalia, Artiodactyla, Delphinidae. The record is from RefSeq and is a predicted model, not a curated record.